RNAcentral lists this long non-coding RNA (313 nucleotides) under Bos taurus (domestic cattle). Its description in RNAcentral is "long non-coding RNA NONBTAT011031". The record is from RNAcentral. Lineage: Eukaryota; Metazoa; Chordata; Mammalia; Artiodactyla; Bovidae.
GGGAGUGAGUGUGAUCAGUCCCUUAGUCAUCUAGUAUUUAUUUUCUGACCACAGCAUUCACAGUAGUUUAAACAUAUUCCUUCCUCUGCAACUUGUACAUUUUCAGGGAUAAAACAAAUGUUUAAUUAUUAAAAUGGGGAUAAGCACAUAAUUCAAGAUUGCACUGAGUUUUGGCUAUAAGAAGGGGAGUGACUAUUUGGAGGAAGUAUCCUACAUGCAAUUUUACAGAAGAAAGUGCUCUGGAUAGGAGGAAGAAUUCUGUUCUGUAGAAUUAAGACAGCCUGAGUAGAGGUGGUUUGCUUUGAAAAAUAAG